Molecule: unclassified non-coding RNA, 482 nt
Filed under: Bombus terrestris (buff-tailed bumblebee)
Lineage: Eukaryota; Metazoa; Arthropoda; Insecta; Hymenoptera; Apidae
Description: misc RNA ENSBTSG00005036255.1
Source: RNAcentral
GGCGAAUAUGCCGUUUGACGAUUUUCUUGAAAACCAAUCAGCGUGCGUAUUUGGGGUCAUUCGUUUUGAGCCUUGUUGGAGUCUCACUCGACGCUCGCACUUGGGUCUAACACGUUCGAGUUUAACAACGGUUUCCUCGGUGCGUCAAUAUCUUCAAGAAUUCGUGGACAUGGCUGCAAGCGUUAGUGGAGAGGACAGAGUCGUUCUAUCAGGCGUAACGAUCAGUGGACAGUCCUGUGCGAAAUCUUCAGUUGCGAACAGUAUCUCCAAGCAUCGAUGAAGCGAGAUGGUUGUCCAAAAGUUAUAAAUCCUGGGAGUUCAGAGACUGAUCUAUAUUAUGAAAAGAAAAAAUAUGGGUUCAAUAGAAGAUAAUGACUGAUACCAACAAUUUUUGACGUGUACAAAAUGUUUUUAAUGUCGCAAAUAAACAACUAUGUUUAUAAAAUUGUAAUAAUUUAUAUUUUUUAUUUUAAAAAUUUAAU